AACGCGAAGCAGGUUUGGCACACGAUAAGGAGACGGUUUUGAAGUGAAGUGCAGCAACAAAAAGGGAAUCGUCCUAACAUCAUUGGACUAUUCUGUUUACAGUUUUCACGAUGUUUGAGAGCUGUAAAAAGAGAGCAAGAACAAAUAAAUACUCUUCAAACAUCGGUCUCAUCUGUACCAGGAGAAAACUUUCAGGAGCAGCUACAGUGAAAAACGUUGCUGUUUAUGGGAGUGAGUCAGCAAAGAGGAUCGCGAGCGUUUCAGUGAAGAUUGGAAGGGCACAUGUCUCGAUAAUCCAUUACCACAUUCCAUGGGAGGAUCUGCCUACAAAUCCGGAGCUUCAAUGGCCGAUUCAACGCGAAGCAGGUUUGGCACACGAUAAGGAGACGGUUUUGAAGUGAAGUGCAGCAACAAAAAGGGAAUCGUCCUAACAUCAUUGGACUAUUCUGUUUACAGUUUUCACGAUGUUUGAGAGCUGUAAAAAGAGAGCAAGAACAAAUAAAUACUCUUCAAACAUCGGUCUCAUCUGUACCAGGAGAAAACUUUCAGGAGCAGCUACAGUGAAAAACGUUGCUGUUUAUGGGAGUGAGUCAGCAAAGAGGAUCGCGAGCGUUUCAGUGAAGAUUGGAAGGGCACAUGUCUCGAUAAUCCAUUACCACAUUCCAUGGGAGGAUCUGCCUACAAAUCCGGAGCUUCAAUGGCCGAUUCAACGAAGCAGGUUUGGCACACGAUAAGGAGACGGUUUUGAAGUGAAGUGCAGCAACAAAAAGGGAAUCGUCCUAACAUCAUUGGACUAUUCUGUUUACAGUUUUCACGAUGUUUGAGAGCUGUAAAAAGAGAGCAAGAACAAAUAAAUACUCUUCAAACAUCGGUCUCAUCUGUACCAGGAGAAAACUUUCAGGAGCAGCUACAGUGAAAAGCGUUGCUGUUUAUGGGAGUGAGUCAGCAAAGAGGAUCGCGAGCGUUUCAGUGAAGAUUGGAAGGGCACAUGUCUCGAUAAUCCAUUACCACAUUCCAUGGGAGGAUCUGCCUACA
Molecule: long non-coding RNA, 1035 nt
Organism: Polypterus senegalus (gray bichir)
Lineage: Eukaryota; Metazoa; Chordata; Cladistia; Polypteriformes; Polypteridae
Exons: 4
Source: RefSeq, a predicted model, not a curated record